Molecule: non-coding RNA, 403 nt
Organism: Chelonoidis abingdonii (Abingdon island giant tortoise)
Lineage: Eukaryota; Metazoa; Chordata; Testudines; Testudinidae
Source: RefSeq, a predicted model, not a curated record
CAGAAGGUCUUUAGUAUGUCUUCAUGACCACAGAUCAGAUGAUACUCCUGAUGGAUCUGUAAGGGCAGUGGGCCAAGUCUGGUACUCAAGAUCACUCCAAAUGGCCAUCAGCUGGUCAUUCAGGAAAUCCUGAAUUUCCAAACAUACUAGAUCCCAUUGCAAUGCCUUCCCAGCCUCAGUGAUAUUCAAUACCAUCUUUCCUUGGUGUAGUACUGUAUUGCAUCUGUUAUUUAACUAUUCUCAGGUACUUUCACAAGGCAUUGACAUUAAUAGCAUAGGAGGGGGGUUACGUUAUUAGUCACUGGAAUGGUUUCAAUAUGGGUAAAAUUUCCAGUGGCAAAACAAACUCUUUGGGUACUUGUUAUUUAAAAUUCAAUUAGAGAGAGCAAUACAUGCUGAAGGA